This 589-nucleotide ribosomal RNA is filed under the name Roesleria subterranea. RNAcentral describes it as "eukaryotic LSU rRNA". It matches the Rfam family "Eukaryotic large subunit ribosomal RNA", at positions 52 to 655 of the family's 3401-position model. The record is from RNAcentral. Lineage: Eukaryota; Fungi; Ascomycota; Leotiomycetes; Helotiales.
GGAGGAAAAGAAACCAACAGGGAUUACCUCAGUAACGGCGAGUGAAGCGGUAACAGCUCAAAUUUGAAAUCUGGCCCUUUCAGGGUCCGAGUUGUAAUUUGUAGAAGAUGCUUCGGGUGUGGCUCCGGUCUAAGUUCCUUGGAACAGGACGUCAUAGAGGGUGAGAAUCCCGUAUGUGACUGGCUGCCUUCGCCCAUGUGAAGCUCUUUCGACGAGUCGAGUUGUUUGGGAAUGCAGCUCUAAAUGGGUGGUAUAUUUCAUCUAAAGCUAAAUAUUGGCCAGAGACCGAUAGCGCACAAGUAGAGUGAUCGAAAGAUGAAAAGCACUUUGGAAAGAGAGUUAAACAGUACGUGAAAUUGUUGAAAGGGAAGCGCUUGCAACCAGACUUGCACGCCGUCGAUCAUCCUGGGUUCUCCCUGGUGCACUCGGCGGCGUUCAGGCCAGCAUCGGUUUCGGUGGUUGGAUAAAGGCCUUGGGAAUGUGGCUCCUCUCGGGGAGUGUUAUAGCCCUCGGUGCAAUGCAGCCUACCGGGACCGAGGACCGCGCUUCGGCUAGGAUGCUGGCGUAAUGGUUGUAAGCGACCCGUCUU